Molecule: ribosomal RNA, 441 nt
Filed under: uncultured bacterium
Lineage: Bacteria
Description: bacterial SSU rRNA
Rfam family: Bacterial small subunit ribosomal RNA
Source: RNAcentral
UACGGAAGGCAGCAGUGGGGAAUAUUGCACAAUGGGCGCAAGCCUGAUGCAGCCAUGCCGCGUGUAUGAAGAAGGCCUUCGGGUUGUAAAGUACUUUCAGUCGUGAGGAAGGUGUUAAGGUUAAUAACCUUAGCAAUUGACGUUAGCGACAGAAGAAGCACCGGCUAACUCCGUGCCAGCAGCCGCGGUAAUACGGAGGGUGCGAGCGUUAAUCGGAAUUACUGGGCGUAAAGGGCACGCAGGCGGUUAAUUAAGUUGGAUGUGAAAUCCCCGGGCUUAACCUGGGAAUGGCAUUCAAGACUGGUUAGCUAGAGUCUUGUAGAGGGGGUUAGAAUUCCAUGUGUAGCGGUGAAAUGCGUAGAGAUGUGGAGGAAUACCGGUGGCGAAGGCGGCCCCUGGGACAAAGGCUGACGCUCAUGUGCGAAAGCGUGGGGAGCAAAC